AGCAGCCGCGGUAAUUCCAGCUCCAAUAGCGUAUAUUAAAGUUGUUGCAGUUAAAAAGCUCGUAGUUGAAUUUCGGGGUCAGUAGGUUGGUCGUGCCACUGGUACGUACUGGUUUCACUGAUUCCUCCUUCCUGAAGAAUCGUAAUGCCAUUAAUUUGGUGUUGCGGGGAAACAGGACUGUUACUUUGAAAAAUUAGAGUGUUUAAAGCAGGCUAACGCUUGAAUACAUUAGCAUGGAAUAAUGAAAUAGGACGGUCGAUCCUAUUUUGUUGGUUUCUAGGAUUGACGUAAUGAUUAAUAGGGAUAGUUGGGGGCAUUAGUAUUCAAUUGUCAGAGGUGAAAUUCUUGGAUUUAUUGAAGACUAACUACUGCGAAAGCAUUUGCCAAGGAUGUUUUCAUUAAUCAAGAACGGAAGUUAGGGGAUCGAGGACGAUCAGAUACUGUCGUAGUCUUAACCAUAAACUAUGCCGACUAGGGAUCGGAUGAUGUUA
This 491-nucleotide ribosomal RNA is filed under the name uncultured Glomus. Its description in RNAcentral is "SSU rRNA". It matches the Rfam family "Eukaryotic small subunit ribosomal RNA", at positions 569 to 1065 of the family's 1831-position model. Lineage: Eukaryota; Fungi; Glomeromycota; Glomeromycetes; Glomerales; Glomeraceae. The record is from RNAcentral.